RNAcentral lists this long non-coding RNA (4255 nucleotides) under Homo sapiens (human). Its description in RNAcentral is "HSALNT0321521". Lineage: Eukaryota; Metazoa; Chordata; Mammalia; Primates; Hominidae. The record is from RNAcentral.
AAAGUUUAACAGUAUUAAGAGUGUCAUCCUAAAAUCCUAUUAUCAAGUACAAAAGGAGACUAAAUAAUGUGCCUUUCCAUAGCCUGCAAAUAAAUAACCCAUUUAUUCGUGCAAUUAAGCAAUGAUUGUCAGUUUUUAAAACUCUAAUUAUCCUUGUGUAUGGCUUGAGAUGCCAUGUUUAUUGCUACUUUUCAGGUUUUUCUAUAAACUUUUGUUUUGGAUUUCAAUUAUAAACUAACAAUUGAAAAUGUGGGUUGCCUGUUAAUUUUGGGCUGUAAUGCAGAACAUUGUUCAAGACUAUUUGUCACUUGACCAUUAUUGAUAUUCCGGCCCUUGAAUCCUCUUACCAGUCAGCCCAAAUGCUCUUAUUAGUUCCAAGUAGGAGUACAUCUUGUUAUUAUCAGCAUCAAAUAGCUCCAGUUGUUCUUGUUGGGGUGUCUCUGCUCCUAGAGGGCUCUGGAUUUCACUGUAAGUUAAAUAACCAUUUGCUUUGUUGUCAGCCCAUAGAAAAAGACUUGAAGGUCUAUGAAAAUAAAAAAGUUUGGUAUAUUUCAACUCAAAUUUUCAAUGUUAACCCAAACAUCUACACCUUUCAGAACAGCAUUUUGUCCUCCUGGGGCUGGUCUUCUUUCCGGUCCUCAAACAUACCUAGAUCAUUUUUUGCUUCCACCUUGGCUUUCAUUGCACAUCACUUUACCACUUCAGUUGCUCCUUUCCUUUCUUUCAACAUCCAGUUUACCUCUUUUCUUCAUUCUACUUGAACUAUCUGAUCAUUUACUUUAAUAAUUUUUCUUCUGUGAUCUGUAUCCUCAUGAUGUUUUAUAUCUAAUCUAGUGUUUUCGUUUUCUGUUUGCCUCAUUCCUUAACAUAAGCACUGUAAUGGAAUAUUCUUCUUCACUGGUAGUCUAGUUUUUGAUAUAUUCAUUGGAUCUUCUUUCUCUCCUAAAACUGUUUAAAAACUUCCAUCUGGCUACAUUUUAAUGGCCUUUUUAUCACAGUCUUUGCAGUUCCCUUGUUUACAUUCAUUUGCUACCUUCUGUCUAAUAUUUCUUAAUAUUACAUCAAAAGAUACCUACUUAUUUGGCUAACAAUUCUGAACAUACUGAUAUCUCUUACACUCCUAAGUUAGUAAAAUUUAUUAGUUUAUACAAAAUCAUAUGUUUCUUCAUUUGUAACACCACCAAAUAAUAUUCCUUUGUCAGUAUUCUUAUUAUUCUCUUGAUCUCAUUGCUUUAAGUACUGCCUUUAUUAAAACACAAACAAACAUUGUUUUCUGUUUCCGAAGUGCCAGGCUCUGUACGUAAUACUGGAAAUGCUGGGAUGAAGAAGCCAUAGUUUCUGACUUCCAGGGGACAAAACCAGCAAGAUUUUUGCUGAAGUUCUUUUGUCCAAGAGGGAAUCAAAAGCUCCUUCCCUUCAAAUCAUGUCAACCAUUUUCUUCUAAAAACAAAAGUAAGAAAUACAAACUACUGCACACAAAUAAUAUUUAAAUAAAAAAUCAGAAAGUUAUCACUGACUUAUUUUAUACUUGCUUUAGAGAACUUAAGCUAAAUCAUUUGCAUAGGAUGUUCUAUGAUGGGUGACUAUUUCAUGCUCAGGAUGCCUGCUCUGUGGCCAACAUUUAUUGAAGGUCACACCUUAAUAUACUUUUCUGUUUAAGGAGGUUGGACUAGUGGCCUUGAAAGUCCUUCCAAUACUGGGUGGGCCAUCUGACAAAUUAAUAUCAAGUUCCCACGGUUUUGUCCAAGCCCUUGACUUUUCCUUCCUUCCUCUUCAGUCAGCAACUCCAUUCCAAACCUAGGUCUUUGCAUCACCCAGGGUCUCCCCACUUCUGAAAUACUCUGCUCUAAGAUUUCCUCUCUGUUCUUAGCCUCUUAACAUUCCAGUUCCCAUUCCCACUACACUCUAUUAAUGUUCAGCUCAUAACUGCUCCUUUUUUUUUCCCUGUCAAUCUAAAAGAUUCCUCCUGGUUACAUUUUAUUUGAUAAUCUCUCUGGGCCUUUGAUCUCUAACUUAAGCAGUUCUAUUGUCUACACCCACAAAACUUGACUCUACUUUCCUGCUACACUCAAUGAAGCAAAAGUCCAAUCCUGGAUAACCACCUGUGUUCUCCACUCCUGUACCUGGACUCAUCAGAAAUUUUACCGAAAUCAAAUAGCCACGUGGAUUGGUGCUACUAAAAUUGAAAUCCCACAGGUCAAGGUCCUCAUCUUAGUUGAACUGUCAAUGAUACCUGCACACCAUUUUAUAUGUUCCAUUUUGGCUCCCUCUCUUAUUGUCCGUAGCUAUUUCAAACCUUCACCAUUUUCCCCUCAGUUUUUUUGUUUUUUUUAGUUUGCCAAUUUACCUCCAUUGGUUUCAGCAGAUUAUCUUUUUUUACUUACUGAAAGAAAUAAUUCCCAAAGAUGUUUCUUCAUCUUGCUGCCACUUCUCCUAACUUAUUUGUAUCCAUACCUCUAUUUUUCUUAUUUUCUAUAGUUUCAGUGAAAAAUAAUAAUAUAGCAAAAAAUUAACAACACACAUUCUCUUCUAGUGCCUAAAUCUAAUCUCAUUUUUCAGAUUCUACUCUGUAGUUCUUUAUCAAGCUAUCCAAGUGAAAAUAUCUAGGAGGCAUUUUGAUAUACAAAUCUGGAACUCAAGAAAGAAAGCCUGGUUGGAGAUUCAUGUUUGAAAUUCAGCAGCAAAUAAAGAUGAAUUAAAACUGUGGCAGAAGAACAGUGGCUGGCACAUAUACUCAAUAAUAUCAGUCUAUUCUUGUCCCUGUUUCCCUAAUCUCAUCCUCUUCCUCAUUUCCUUUCUUAAAUAGUGACACCAGAAUUAAUACCACCACUCAAGCCAGUAAAUCCUUGUGUCACCUUAGAUGCCUUCCACACCCACCAUCUUCGACUAGUAGCGAAGUCUUGUUAGUUUACCUCCCUGAUAUCUUUUGAGUAUCUUCUCUGUUGCUGUUGCCUUCACGCAGCUGGUUAGCAUGUUUUCCUGGCUUAUUGCCACUGUUCCCUAAUGGUUUGCUCUGCUUCCAGGCUGUCUUUCUUGCAACCUAUUUUCCUUCCACUUACUGAAUUAUCUGUGUACACAUGCAAAUGUGGUCAUUCUAUUUAUAAUUACUCAAGGUCUUCAAGUAGUUCCCUAGUCACAGUAAGAUAAAACCUAGGCUGACACAUAACACCCUUCAUUAUUUGGUGCUUAAUUGCAUCUCCAAACUCAUUUCUUUUUACUUUCUACACUUCCUACCUGCUCGAUAUAGUCAUUUGCAAUUUCUCAUAUGUAUUAUGCUAUUUUUAAUAAACAUAAGCUUUAGUAUCUCUGUUUCCUUCUUGAGUUCCCACUACCUGCCAUCUUUUUCCUCACCUCUUCCCACUUCUGUCGUCACCCUUUCCUUGACCAAAUGUUUCCUCUUCAAAUCAUAACCCUAAUAUUAUCUUUUAGAGAAAGACUUCUCAGUCUGAGUUAUGCUCCCUGCUCCCAAGUUUUCUUCUGGUUUUCUAUGCUCAUGGCUCGUUGUUAUAAUUGCUCACACGUUAGUUUCUCCACUAACCAUGAAGAAACCAUGUCAGUGACUUUUUAAUUUUAAUUCCCAGCACCUAGUAGAGACCUCAGAUAUGGGAAGCCCACAUAAAAUGUUUGCUGAAUGAACAAAAGAAGCAUUUUGAUUCAUUAUUUAUCCUACUGCUUCUAUAUCUGUGUAUGUUAGGAUUUAGGAUGAGAAUUUAUGGUAGAAAUAAAGCUAAAUUUAUGUAAGAUGAGACAAAAUAUAUUUAACUGUUAACUCUUGGCCACUCUGACCCAAAUAAGAGCCCCUUGCUAGCUUUCUCUGAGUACUAAGCAUAUGCAUGUAUUUCCCCCCUCCCCUUCUGGGCUUUAAAUUCUUCCACAUCAGGAACCACAUCUGUCAGGCUCAGUGACCUAUCCUUAGUGUCUGGCACAGGAUAUUUUCAAUAGAGGCUGUGAGAUUUACUAAAUAAUUGAUUCUCCUCUGGAGAAUGUCUAGUGGAAUAGUUGUUCUCGAUCCUUCGUAGAUAAACUUAUUUCUGAAUCUUUGUCAAGUAGUUGCCUUUCUUGUUGCCCUUAUAAAUUAAAGCAUAAAUUCACUGAUUUUAUAUGAUAUAUAUAACCUAUGUGCUAAAAUAUAUGGGAUAUGAAUUAGAGUUCAACAAGGAUGUUAUUUUUAAAAACCAAACCAGAAACACAUACAAACAUGUUAUUUUAACGCAGUGGAGAAAGCUCAAAAUAAUAACCUGUAUCCCUGUCAAAA